CGUGUACGACGAGGGCCGUCCGCCGUCUGCGAGUCGUUUUAGGCGCCACCGUGUCCGUCUCUUCGUCACCGUCUCUCACUGCAGAUACGUCCCGAGCGCAUCACAGCACACAUUAUGCCAUUAUUCGCCGCCGUGCGUUGUGGUCCGGAC
Metopolophium dirhodum (rose-grain aphid) is the source of this 150-nucleotide long non-coding RNA. RefSeq lists it as uncharacterized. Lineage: Eukaryota; Metazoa; Arthropoda; Insecta; Hemiptera; Aphididae. The transcript is spliced from 3 exons. The record is from RefSeq and is a predicted model, not a curated record.